CAGCCGCCGCGGGAAUACGUAGGGUGCAAGCGUUAAUCGGAAUUACUGGGCGUAAAGCGUGCGCAGGCGGUUAUAUAAGACAGAUGUGAAAUCCCCGGGCUCAACCUGGGAACUGCAUUUGUGACUGUAUAGCUAGAGUACGGCAGAGGGGGAUGGAAUUCCGCGUGUAGCAGUGAAAUGCGUAGAUAUGCGGAGAAACACCGAUGGCGAAGGCAAUCCCCUGGGCCUGUACUGACGCUCAUGCACGAAAGCGUGGGGAGCAAACAGGAUUAGAUACCCCGGUAGUCCCUGUCUCUUAUAC
Molecule: ribosomal RNA, 301 nt
Filed under: uncultured bacterium
Lineage: Bacteria
Description: partial 16S ribosomal RNA
Rfam family: Bacterial small subunit ribosomal RNA
Source: RNAcentral